CAGUCGCCACGGGAAUACGGAGGAUCCAAGCGUUAUCCGGAUUUAUUGGGUUUAAAGGGUGCGUAGGUGGCUUUUUAAGUCAGGGGUGAAAGACGGUAGCUUAACUAUCGCAGUGCCUUUGAUACUGAAGAGCUUGAAUGAACUAGAGGUAGGCGGAAUGUGACAAGUAGCGGUGAAAUGCAUAGAUAUGUCACAGAACACCAAUUGCGAAGGCAGCUUACUAUGGUUUUAUUGACACUGAGGCACGAAAGCGUGGGGAUCAAACAGGAUUAGAUACCCCUGUAGUCCCUGUCUCUUAUAC
RNAcentral lists this ribosomal RNA (301 nucleotides) under uncultured bacterium. RNAcentral describes it as "partial 16S ribosomal RNA". It matches the Rfam family "Bacterial small subunit ribosomal RNA", at positions 509 to 807 of the family's 1533-position model. The record is from RNAcentral.